Molecule: non-coding RNA, 395 nt
Organism: Lepus europaeus (European hare)
Lineage: Eukaryota; Metazoa; Chordata; Mammalia; Lagomorpha; Leporidae
Source: the annotation of a RefSeq genome assembly
ACACACCAUCGCCAUCACGCAGGAUGCCGCUGCUGGCAGCACUGCUCUUCUUCUCCUUCUGGGCCUCUGGACUUGGAUUAUCCGGAGUGGAGCAGUCCCAGAUAUCCGUUUCCGCGGAAGUACAGAAAAGUGUUGCAAUAUUUUGCAAGGUAUCAAGUUCAACGUUUGAAAGUGAAGCCAUUCACUGGUACAGGCAGAAAUCCAAUCAGGCUUUGGAGCACCUAAUUCAGGUUUCCUCAACAACAACCCCAGCUCAAGCUAACUUGGGUGGGAGGCGCAACAAAGUUGAAGCAAAAAAGGAUUCUCAAACUUCCACUUCAAUCCUUACUGUAAACUUCAUAGAAAAAGCAGAUGUGGCCACUUACUACUGUGCUGGCUGGGUCUCACAGUACUAG